GCCAGUGGUUCCUAACCUUGUUGGAGGUACCGAACCCCUCCAGUGUCAUAUGCACAUUCACUGAACCCCUCUUUUCUAAAAAUAAUUGUU
Molecule: long non-coding RNA, 90 nt
Organism: Syngnathus acus (greater pipefish)
Lineage: Eukaryota; Metazoa; Chordata; Actinopteri; Syngnathiformes; Syngnathidae
Exons: 3
Source: RefSeq, a predicted model, not a curated record